CCCUUAGAUGUUCUGGGCCGCACGCGCGCUACACUGACGAAUGCAACGAGCUUAUAACCUUGGCCGAAAGGUCUGGGUAAUCUCCAAAUUUCGUCGUGAUGGGGAUAGAUUAUUGCAAUUAUUAAUCCUCAACGAGGAAUGCCUAGUAAGCGCAAGUCAUCAGCUUGCGUUGAUUACGUCCCUGCCCUUUGUACACACCGCCCGUCGCUCCUACCGAUUGAAUGGUCCGGUGAAGCGUUCGGACCGUGGCCUUUGGACGGUUCGCCGUCUGUUGGCUGCGGGAAGUUCGUUAAACCUUAUCAUUUAGAGGAAGGAGAANUCGUANCA
This 327-nucleotide ribosomal RNA is filed under the name uncultured eukaryote. Its description in RNAcentral is "partial 18S ribosomal RNA". It matches the Rfam family "Eukaryotic small subunit ribosomal RNA", at positions 1470 to 1796 of the family's 1831-position model. The record is from RNAcentral.